AGUGAACGCUGGCGGUAGGCCUAACACAUGCAAGUCGAACGGCAGCACAGUAAGAGCUUGCUCUUACGGGUGGCGAGUGGCGGACGGGUGAGGAAUACAUCGGAAUCUACUUUUUCGUGGGGGAUAACGUAGGGAAACUUACGCUAAUACCGCAUACGACCUACGGGUGAAAGCAGGGGAUCUUCGGACCUUGCGCGAUUGAAUGAGCCGAUGUCGGAUUAGCUAGUUGGCGGGGUAAAGGCCCACCAAGGCGACGAUCCGUAGCUGGUCUGAGAGGCUGAUCAGCCACACUAGAACUGAGACACGGUCCAGACUCCUACGGGAGGCAGCAGUGGGGAAUAUUGGACAAUGGGCGCAAGCCUGAUCCAGCCAUACCGCGUGUGUGAAGAAGGCCUUCGGGUUGUAAAGCCCUUUUGUUGGGAAAGAAAAGCAGCAGGUUAAUACCCCGCUGUUCUGACGGUACCCAAUGAAUAAGCACCGGCUAACUUCGUG
RNAcentral lists this ribosomal RNA (492 nucleotides) under uncultured bacterium. RNAcentral's name for it is "partial 16S ribosomal RNA". It matches the Rfam family "Bacterial small subunit ribosomal RNA", at positions 29 to 507 of the family's 1533-position model. The record is from RNAcentral.